GUUUGGACUCAUUUUAAUAGGUUAAUCUGAUCGAUUCUAAUAGAUCAAUUUGGUGCUUAAGGUAAGUAUUUAGAUGGUGGUUGUUUAAUUGGUUCCAUUAUCUAAUCUGAUCAAUUUUAAUUGGUAUUUUAGAAGAGCAAUGGAGGGACCGCACUCAUCUUAACUUAUCAGGUCAUCUUGGGAGAUUCAGUUUUGUGCUAGGUUAUUUAUUGACUCGAGUGCACCAAUGCCUACUAGGUUGAUUCGACAUGUUGAUGUACUGACCUAAAUUUGAUCAAUCGGAUGUCAGAUCUAUUGAUUUAGAAGAGAUCUAUACCUAAAUCUACUCAUUAAAUAUUAAGUCCAGAGGUCUUCCAUCAUUGUAAAGAUGCGGGUGCCUUCCUAGCAUUGAUCAUUCUCGAUUGGUCACAAUGGUUUAAUUGCAUCAAGAAGGUACAAUAACUCUAUUAACAUUUUAUGUUUCAAGGUAGAGAUGAAGUUGAGCCCAAUAACUAUUAAGUGAGGAUCCUAAUGAUGACUUUACACCCACUAGUGAAUAAUGGGUUUGACUUAACUAAAAAAUAUAUCAAUAAUUGUUAGGUG
This 582-nucleotide long non-coding RNA is filed under the name Elaeis guineensis (African oil palm). RNAcentral's name for it is "long non-coding RNA (EGUI_LNC034018)". The record is from RNAcentral. Lineage: Eukaryota; Viridiplantae; Streptophyta; Magnoliopsida; Arecales; Arecaceae.